Molecule: ribosomal RNA, 506 nt
Filed under: Niallia circulans
Lineage: Bacteria; Bacillati; Bacillota; Bacilli; Caryophanales; Bacillaceae
Description: bacterial SSU rRNA
Rfam family: Bacterial small subunit ribosomal RNA
Source: RNAcentral
GCGGGAGGGUGCUAUACAUGCAAGUCGAGCGGACUUUAAAAGCUUGCUUUUAAAGUUAGCGGCGGACGGGUGAGUAACACGUGGGCAACCUGCCUGUAAGACUGGGAUAACUUCGGGAAACCGGAGCUAAUACCGGAUAAUCCUUUUCCUCUCAUGAGGAAAAGCUGAAAGACGGUUUACGCUGUCACUUACAGAUGGGCCCGCGGCGCAUUAGCUAGUUGGUGAGGUAACGGCUCACCAAGGCGACGAUGCGUAGCCGACCUGAGAGGGUGAUCGGCCACACUGGGACUGAGACACGGCCCAGACUCCUACGGGAGGCAGCAGUAGGGAAUCUUCCGCAAUGGACGAAAGUCUGACGGAGCAACGCCGCGUGAGUGAUGAAGGUUUUCGGAUCGUAAAACUCUGUUGUUAGGGAAGAACAAGUACAAGAGUAACUGCUUGUACCUUGACGGUACCUAACCAGAAAGCCACGGCUAACUACGUGCCAGCAGCCGGGGGGUAAUACA